GCUCCGAAAUCAAGCUGAUGAACCGAGACGGGAUUGAGGCCACCUUUCAGAUGUUUGACGAUCUUGACGCCGUGCUUAUCGGCCUUUGUCAAGUAGACGAUGAAGGUGGAGAGCACGACGGAGAAGAGCGGCGCCACCGCCGGUCAAGAAAUGGAUGUUUUUUCAGACUAAUUGUGAUUAACUUACGAUGAAACGGGUGGCUAGGAUGAAGAUCAGAAACGAACAGCCGAGGACGAAGUUCAGUGGAUACCACUGUUGUUGCAUAAAAUAUUUUAACAAAUUUGUCAAUACAUAUGAAGUUAUUGAGAAAUAUAAAAGUUAUUAAUACUCCACAUAAAUUAUAAUAUAAGUACCGUUUUUUUAA
This is a long non-coding RNA of Salvia splendens (bonfire salvia), 364 nucleotides long. RefSeq lists it as uncharacterized. NCBI's taxonomy places the organism in Eukaryota, Viridiplantae, Streptophyta, Magnoliopsida, Lamiales, Lamiaceae. The record is from RefSeq and is a predicted model, not a curated record. The transcript is spliced from 2 exons.